AGGGGGCCGUACCUCAUGCAGA
RNAcentral lists this microRNA (22 nucleotides) under Ornithorhynchus anatinus (platypus). RNAcentral describes it as "oan-miR-1421p-5p". The record is from miRBase by way of RNAcentral. Lineage: Eukaryota; Metazoa; Chordata; Mammalia; Monotremata; Ornithorhynchidae.